RNAcentral lists this microRNA (22 nucleotides) under Hyalella azteca. RNAcentral's name for it is "miR-194*". The record is from RNAcentral. Lineage: Eukaryota; Metazoa; Arthropoda; Malacostraca; Amphipoda; Hyalellidae.
CAGUGGAGUUACUGUUACUACG